GGGGAAUAUUGGACAAUGGGGGCAACCCUGAUCCAGCCAUGCCGCGUGAGUGAUGAAGGCCCUAGGGUUGUAAAGCUCUUUCGGCGGGGACGAUAAUGACGGUACCCGCAGAAGAAGCCCCGGCUAACUUCGUGCCAGCAGCCGCGGUAAUACGAAGGGGGCUAGCGUUGCUCGGAAUCACUGGGCGUAAAGCGCACGUAGGCGGAUCUUUAAGUCAGGGGUGAAAUCCCAAGGCUCAACCUUGGAACUGCCUUUGAUACUGGGGAUCUCGAGUCCGGAAGAGGUUGGUGGAACUCCGAGUGUAGAGGUGAAAUUCGUAGAUAUUCGGAAGAACACCAGUGGCGAAGGCGGCCAACUGGUCCGGCACUGACGCUGAGGUGCGAAAGCGUGGGGAGCAAAC
Molecule: ribosomal RNA, 400 nt
Filed under: uncultured bacterium
Lineage: Bacteria
Description: bacterial SSU rRNA
Rfam family: Bacterial small subunit ribosomal RNA
Source: RNAcentral